UUCGUAGGCGGCGCGGCAAGUCGGAAGUGAAAUCUCCGGGCUUAACCCAGAGGCUGCUCCCGAAACUGCCGUGCUAGAGUGCGGGAGAGGCGAGUGGAAUUGCAGGUGUAGCGGUGAAAUGCGUAGAUAUCCGCAGGAACACCCGUGGCGAAGGCGGCUCGCUGGACCGCAACUGACGCUGAGGAACGAAAGCUAGGGGAGCAAACAGGAUUAGAUACCCCGGUAGUCCUAGCCCUAAACCAUCAGGACUUGGGGUGCAUCCCGUUCGGGGUGCGUCCCGUAGCUAACGCGUUAAGUCCUGCGCCUGGGGAGUACGGUCGCAAGACUGAA
This 330-nucleotide ribosomal RNA is filed under the name uncultured bacterium. RNAcentral describes it as "bacterial SSU rRNA". It matches the Rfam family "Bacterial small subunit ribosomal RNA", at positions 568 to 898 of the family's 1533-position model. The record is from RNAcentral.